RNAcentral lists this ribosomal RNA (784 nucleotides) under uncultured bacterium. RNAcentral describes it as "SSU rRNA". It matches the Rfam family "Bacterial small subunit ribosomal RNA", at positions 70 to 853 of the family's 1533-position model. The record is from RNAcentral.
CACAGUGUAGCAAUACAUGGGUGGCGACCGGCAAACGGGUGCGGAACACGUACGCAACCUUCCUUCAGGCGGGGAAUAGCCCAGAGAAAUUUGGAUUAAUACCCCAUAAUAUUUUGAGAUGGCAUCAUCUUAUUAUUAAAGCUACGGCACCUGGAGAUGGGCGUGCGGCUGAUUAGGUAGUUGGCGGGGUAAUGGCCCACCAAGCCUACGAUCAGUAGCUGAUGUGAGAGCAUGAUCAGCCACACGGGCGCUGAGACACGGGCCCGACUCCUACGGGAGGCAGCAGUAAGGAAUAUUGGUCAAUGGACGCAAGUCUGAACCAGCCAUGCCGCGUGGAGGAUGAAGGUCCUCUGGAUUGUAAACUUCUUUUAUCUGGGACGAAAAAAGGGUUUUCUAACUCGUCUGACGGUACCAGAUGAAUAAGCACCGGCUAACUCCGUGCCAGCAGCCGCGGUAAUACGGAGGGUGCAAGCGUUAUCCGGAUUCACUGGGUUUAAAGGGUGCGUAGGCGGGCAUUUAAGUCAGUGGUGAAAUACCUGAGCUUAACUUGGGAACUGCCAUUGAUACUAUUUGUCUUGAAUGUCGUGGAGGUUAGCGGAAUAUGUCAUGUAGCGGUGAAAUGCUUAGAUAUGACAUAGAACACCUAUUGCGAAGGCAGCUAACUACGCGAAUAUUGACGCUGAGGCACGAAAGCGUGGGGAUCAAACAGGAUUAGAUACCCUGGUAGUCCACGCCCUAAACGAUGAUUACUCGACAUUAGCGAUACACUGUUAGUGUCUGAGCG